This 204-nucleotide ribosomal RNA is filed under the name uncultured Lactobacillus sp. RNAcentral describes it as "partial 16S ribosomal RNA". It matches the Rfam family "Bacterial small subunit ribosomal RNA", at positions 159 to 355 of the family's 1533-position model. The record is from RNAcentral. Lineage: Bacteria; Bacillati; Bacillota; Bacilli; Lactobacillales; Lactobacillaceae.
GAUGCUAAUACCGGAUAACAACAGAUGAUGCCUAUCAACUGUUUAAAAGAUGGUUCUGCUAUCACUCUUGGAUGGACCUGCGGUGCAUUAGCUAGUUGGUAGGGUAACGGCCUACCAAGGCGAUGAUGCAUAGCCGAGUUGAGAGACUGAUCGGCCACAUUGGGACUGAGACACCGGCCCAAACUCCUACGGGAGGCAGCAGUC